This 315-nucleotide unclassified non-coding RNA is filed under the name Hevea brasiliensis (rubber tree). Lineage: Eukaryota; Viridiplantae; Streptophyta; Magnoliopsida; Malpighiales; Euphorbiaceae. The record is from RNAcentral.
ACCAGCCCACUAUCUCCUUGACAGGAAUUCCUAUUAAGAGGGCUGCCAUUAGUCCAAGACACGUAGCUAUCUGAAUGAAGCUUCCAUAUGUUCCCCUCACAAAUGCAGGAGAGACCUCAGUGACAUAGAGAGAAGCAACAGGAGGGCCUAGACCCAUUCCAAUCCCAACAAACAGUCGUCCCAAAAGCAUCCCAGCCAGAGUUUUGGUUAUUGCACUCAUUCCAGCACCAAGAAUCAUUGGCAAAGCACUCAGUUGAAAAGCCCUACGACGCCCGACCCCAUCGGCUACCCAACCACUCAGUAAAGAUCCAAUUA